UUUAUGACAGAGUGAUAGGAACUAAAAUCUGAAAUCUAUACAUGCCUUGUUCAGAACAAAGUGAAAAUAACAACAUACCACCAGGUGGUACCUUCCACUACAAAGACAACAACAGGAAUCUAAAGGCAGAUAUCGAGGUUGGAACAAGCAAACCAUGAUAUCGAGGUUGGAACAAGCAAACCAUGAUAUCGAGGUUGGAACAAGCAAACCAUCAAACAAUCGUAACGACGAAUUAAAAGUAACCGUCACAGGAGACUUGCUGCCCAGACAUGUCUUGUGAUGGUAAAUUGCAGGGGCAGCUUUAGAGCUUGCAACAUGAGGGCAGAAAAUGUGGGAAUAGGGAAUCACCAUUAGAUAGUCAUCAUCCUGUAGAGGAAAGUCAAGGAUAAAAUAAUUGAUUGAGAUGGUUAGCUACAUACAUUUUUUAUAGCUCACUGCCCAUCUCCAUGGUACGCAAGCACAAAGGAAUUAAUUCAGUUUGCAGGAGAAUGCCGAUAACCUCAGUAUCAUCAACAUGCAUGCAUAAUAAGAAGGUCAAAAGGCUUCUUCAAAAACCAAGAAGAGAACAUUUAGUAUUUGGAAACAUAUGCAGCUAUUCCAAAAGCAAGAAGAAAACAUUAGAUAGAAAAGCCAACACCGAAAGCUGAAGCAAGCACAUGACAACAUAUAUUCUAAAAUUACAGAGCAGAACUGGGUAGAGAAGUAAGUCAGUCUCAGAUGCAUCGACAAAACAAUCAAGAAAUCAAGUUUUGCUCGAGUUGAGCCUUGAAUCGGCAACUUCCACACCUACCUUGCUCUAAAUUAAUCAAAAGAAAUAAGAAUAUGUGCAGCACAUAAUACUUUUGGGAAAUCGGUGAACACAAACAUGAGGAGAUCAAGCCUCGAAGCAUAUGAUCUCCAACUUGAUUUCUCACAUAAUAUGUAUGAGUGCUGCAAGUGCAUCUAUUGUGCUCAGUUUUUAGAGGCAAAAAAUUGGUAUAACUUUCUGUUGAGUAAAAGGAACAUCAUGGAGCUUCCAAAUUUUCAUGGCCAUGGAACACACUCAACACCUAAACUUCGUGAUCCCGUCGUCAUGCCAUCACAUGAAGUCAAGGAAGCUCCUAAAUUCAUAGUGGUAUCUUGAAGCAAAGCCGACAUCCUACUCUCUUGGUUUAUUCACAGCAAAACAAAAAUAAAUACAUGAAAGUAAAAGGUCGAGAGAGACAUGCAACACAAAGAUUGUAAUAGCAGUAGAAUCCAGACUGAUGUAUUGUAGCACCUAAUCAUUUUAUAGGAAACGGCAAAGAUUGGUAACCAAAACAGCAUCAUAAACUAUUUGUGUGAAUAAAGGCAUAAGUUUAAUAAUAACAUAUCAAGGAAAAAUAUUAGUUAUUUUUAGGCGCGACCACCAGUGGAACAAUACAUAGUAAGAAGAUAAAUAAUAGAACCUAGGAAAAAAGGUAUACUAUAAC
Molecule: long non-coding RNA, 1451 nt
Filed under: Triticum aestivum (bread wheat)
Lineage: Eukaryota; Viridiplantae; Streptophyta; Magnoliopsida; Poales; Poaceae
Description: long non-coding RNA (TAES_LNC026672)
Source: RNAcentral